CCUACGGGAGGCAGCAGUGGGGAAUUUUGGACAAUGGGCGAAAGCCUGAUCCAGCAAUGCCGCGUGCAGGAAGAAGGCCUUCGGGUUGUAAACUGCUUUUGUACGGAACGAAACGGUCUGCUUUAAUACAGUGGGCUAAUGACGGUGCCGUAAGAAUAAGCACCGGCUAACUACGUGCCAGCAGCCGCGGUAAUACGUAGGGUGCGAGCGUUAAUCGGAAUUACUGGGCGUAAAGCGUGCGCAGGCGGUUAUAUAAGACAGUCGUGAAAUCCCCGGGCUCAACCUGGGAAUUGCAUCUGUGACUGUAUAGCUAGAGUACGGUAGAGGGGGAUGGAAUUCCGCGUGUAGCAGUGAAAUGCGUAGAUAUGCGGAGGAACACCGAUGGCGAAGGCAAUCCCCUGGACCUGUACUGACGCUCAUGCACGAAAGCGUGGGGAGCAAACAGGAUUAGAUACCCUGGUAGUCCACGCCCUAAACGAUGUCAACUGGUUNUUGGGUGCAUUAGUACUCAGUAACGAAGCUAACGCGUGAAGUUGACCGCCUGGGGAUACGGCCGCAAGGUUGAAACUCAAAGGAAUUGACCGGNNGAGAGNGCGACGACGACGACGAGGGAGGAGG
This 618-nucleotide ribosomal RNA is filed under the name uncultured bacterium. RNAcentral describes it as "bacterial SSU rRNA". It matches the Rfam family "Bacterial small subunit ribosomal RNA", at positions 338 to 951 of the family's 1533-position model. The record is from RNAcentral.